RNAcentral lists this ribosomal RNA (454 nucleotides) under uncultured bacterium. RNAcentral's name for it is "partial 16S ribosomal RNA". It matches the Rfam family "Bacterial small subunit ribosomal RNA", at positions 28 to 507 of the family's 1533-position model. The record is from RNAcentral.
GAUGAACGCUGACAGAAUGCUUAACACAUGCAAGUCUACUUGAACUUCGGUUUGGGUGGCGGACGGGUGAGUAACGCGUAAAGAACUUGCCUCACAGAUAGGGACAACAUUUGGAAACGGAUGCUAAUACCUGAUAUUAUGAUUUUAGGGCAUCCUAGAAUUAUGAAAGCUAUAUGCACUGUGAGAGAGCUUUGCGUCCCAUUAGCUAGUUGGAGAGGUAACGGCUCACCAAGGCGAUGAUGGGUAGCCGGCCUGAGAGGGUGAUCGGCCACAAGGGGACUGAGACACGGCCCUUACUCCUACGGGAGGCAGCAGUGGGGAAUAUUGGACAAUGGACCAAGAGUCUGAUCCAGCAAUUCUGUGUGCACGAUGAAGUUUUUCGGAAUGUAAAGUGCUUUCAGUUGGGAAGAAAAAAAUGACGGUACCAACAGAAGAAGUGACGGCUAAAUACGUG